GAGUUUUUCUUUUCUCUCCGGAGAUUAGAACUCUUAGAUUGCUUCCUUCAGUGCCUUAUGAGAAAUCAAAGUCUUUGGGUUCUGGGGCGAGUAUUCGCGCAAGCGAGAAAGUUAAAAGAAUUGACGGAAGGGCACCACCAGGCGUGGAGCUUGCGGCUUAAUUUGACUCAACACGGGAAAACUCACUAGUUUAAGACAAGAGUAGGAUUGACAGAUUAAUAGCUCUUUCUUGAUUUCUUGGAUGGUGAUGCAUGGCCGUUUUUAGUUCGUGAAUAUGAUUUGUCUGGUUAAUUCCGAUAACGAACGAGAUCUUAACCUGCUAAUUAGCGGCAAAUACGAUAUAUUCUUAUGUAGAAUUGAAUAUAGUGGAUUUGUUAGAUUUUGAAGAAAAUAUUGGAAUUACGUUAAAUGUGAUUCCUUUCCC
This 424-nucleotide ribosomal RNA is filed under the name Plasmodium knowlesi. RNAcentral's name for it is "SSU rRNA". It matches the Rfam family "Eukaryotic small subunit ribosomal RNA", at positions 1061 to 1407 of the family's 1831-position model. The record is from RNAcentral. Lineage: Eukaryota; Apicomplexa; Aconoidasida; Haemosporida; Plasmodiidae.